CCUACGGGAGGCUGCAGUGGGGAAUAUUGCACAAUGGGCGAAAGCCUGAUGCAGCAACGCCGCGUGAGCGAUGAAGGCCUUCGGGUGGUAAAGCUCUGUCCUCAAGGAAUAUAAUGAAGGUUAUUGAGGAGGAAGCCCCGGCUAACUUCGUGCCAGCAGCCGCGGUAAUACGUAGGGGGGUAGAGGUAUCCGGAAUUACUGGGCGUAAAGGGUGCGUAGGUGGUGUCUUAAGUCAGAGGUGAAAGGCGACGGUUCCACCGUAGUAAGCCUUUGAAACUGGGGAAGUUGAGGGCAGGAGAGGAGAGUGGAAUUCCUAGUGUAGCGGUGAAAUGCGUAGAGAUUAGGAGGAACACCAGUUGCGAAGGCGGCUCUCUGGACUGUAACUGACACUGAGGCACGAAAGCGUGGGGAGCAAACAGGAUUAGAUACCCGAGUAGUC
RNAcentral lists this ribosomal RNA (439 nucleotides) under uncultured bacterium. RNAcentral's name for it is "partial 16S ribosomal RNA". It matches the Rfam family "Bacterial small subunit ribosomal RNA", at positions 338 to 795 of the family's 1533-position model. The record is from RNAcentral.